UCUCCCCUCCCACGCGCCUCCUCUCCCUCUCUCUCUCUCGUUCCCCUCCCCUCCAACGAGCCUCCCCUCCCGCGCGCCUCCUCUCCUCCCGCCAUCUCCUACAUCCAUCGGCCGCCACCUUCGCCGGCUCCUCCCCCCCACCCCCGCAUCUCCUUACCGUCUUCAGGCCGCGUGUUGCCACCACCCUUCCUCCUCUCCUCCCAUUAUUCCCCUCCCCUAACCCUAGAAAUGGAAGAAGGGGGCCAGUCGUCCGCGGCGCCGUGUCCGCCGUCCAGAACGCUCGCCGGCGUGGAUGUGUGGUGCGAGGCUGGGGAUGCUGUCUUCGCUCCCUGCCGCGCCGUCGCAUCUUCUCCUCCUCCCCGCCCUCCCGGUCCUUAGCGGGAGGAGCGCGGCUCGCCGCCGCAACUGCUCCGCGUCGCUGCUCCCUCGUCGAGCUGGCACGUCGCCGUCACCUGGAGGAGCGGCCGCUCCCUGCCGCGCCGUCGCAUGGCAGCUGCUCCGCGUCGCUGGUCCCCCAUCUAGCUCGUGUGUCCCCGUCGCCUGGAGGAGCAGAGGCUGCCGCUCCAGCAUCUUCUCGGCCCUCCUUCCCUCGUCGGCGAGCGGCUCAUGGCAACUCCAGACCGUGCUCUGUCGCCUCCAACUUUGGUCCCCGUCUCCACUUCAUUAGGGAGGCAGGUCUGAAUCCAAAUGUGGAACAGGGAAAGGUAAAAGCAGCUCAAUUGGUUGGUUCAAGCUACAGGUUGGCACCUACGCAGAAAGAGGUGACGGAUUGAAAGGUCAAUCCACAAGAGCGAACUAAGAAGUGCAGGAACCACUCAGAAUAAUCAUCGAUACGGACAAUGACGGUGAAGGCCGUACUUCUCGGGCGAUUCUCAACGUAGAACCAGUUGACCUGACGGAAGAAGCCGGCAGCGAGUCGGGCCUGCGGCUUUUGUGGUGGGGUGAGGAAGAGGAGGACGAUGAGUGAAACGCUGUCCAUUGAUGAUGUCGCCUUGCUGCUAGGAGAAGGCGAGAGGAGGAGGCAGGAGCCUGGACCAGAAGCACAGAAGGAUGAGGCUAUUCACGCGGUUGAAGUCGCUCAUCUACCUAUUGUUUAGUAUUUACUUGCAAUACGCACAACCUGAUUUUCAACUCAAUCAAGAGUCAACCUAAUUAGUAGACGAACAAAAAAAACUACUCUUUGCGGCCAGAUGAUGAACCAAAAGGAAAAUUCUAUAUGUACAUAUAUUAUUUCAAGGAAAAUUCUGCUCACAGGAAAUACAUUAUUAGGACAUCAUAGAGGAUGUCACAUUUAUGUGUAGUAAGCCAUGCUUCCUAUUUGCUGUGGUUGUUUUUGGUGUUAUGUUUCGGGGUAUAUAUCUAGGACAAUGAAUCUGAAGUUGGGUAUUUAGAUGGGUUGCAGUUUGUUGAAGCUAAACAUCUAAGCACAUUAAAAUGGGACAUUCUUGCAAUUAUGUUGAUUUAUGGUGAGAUAACCUAGAGAAGUAUCGAUGUGUAUCUUCAGUUCAUAGUUGUCCUGUUUGUUACUACAAACCUGAAAGCUAUAAACUCAAGAUGUUCUUCUCACAUGAAAGUAUAGUCUCUCUUUUGAUUUAUUUAAUUCCCAUUUCUGGCAAAAACUAAAUAAUGUACUGAAUUGUAGUUUUGUAUUACUUAUAUAUUAUUUCAUCAAGCAGUGGUAUGCAUUGGCAUCCAGUGAUGUUUAUUUCUUUUGAAUGUUUGAUAGGUAAUUGCAGGAGUUGAUGAUAUGUAUCGUCCUAUGUUUAUAAAGCGGUAAAGCGAAGCGAGGCGCUAGGGGGGCGCCUCACUGCUUAAGCGAUAAAGCGUAAAGCGAGGCGACGCUUUACAGACUCUGAACCUGAUGGGCAGUAUAAUAGAGCACCAUUUAGUGAGACAUAUAUAUGUUGAUUCUAAUCCACCAGUGAGCCCAUAUAUUCUGAUCCAUCCACUAAGCAGUAAGCAACUAGCCAAUUGCUAUAAGAGAGGCAGUAGCACCUAACAGCAGAGGAGUUGUGCAUAGCAUAACACACAACAGAGCAGAAAAGGCUGGUGCAGAUCUGAGGAAGCUGCUGCCAGAGGAGAGAGGAAAGAGCUGAAAGCCUGGAUAUUUGCACGCUCUGGUUUUGGUUCUCUCUCUUUCUUUCCCCUCCUGUAACUGUUUCACAUGUGAGCCCAGCCCUGUUUCCCUGCCAGGAAUCUCUGUACCCUGCCUGGCAAGUCUAAGGCGUCCUCUCUGCCUUAAAGCGCCAAUCAGGACGCCUAAGCAGGCGCUUCAGACGCUUUAGUGUCUAAGGCGGACGCCUUAGACACAUGUCUAAAGCGAGUUGGACGCUUUGAGCCUGGAGGGCGCUCUAACGCUUAAGCGUCGCUUAAGCGACACUUUAGGGACGCUUUACAAACAGAGGUAUCGUCCAGCACCGUUACUUGAGGUAACCUAUUUAACUUUAUAACCGAGUACAUCAACUGAAUUUUUCCCAUGGUGAGCUAGCUUCAACUGUUCCUGUUUGGGUUAUGUUUAUCAGUAGUUGUAAUAGUUCAUGGUGUGGUCAGUGCCAUUUAACAUCAUAUUCUGCCUAUGGUAUUAAAGAUUUUAGAUUAAUCUAAAAUAUUGGAUUUUAUCUGAAUGUUAGCCAUCGACUGUCAUAUUGUGCAUAUUUGUGAUUCAGAUUUCUUUUUAUGCCAUUGUUCAGACAUUACUCGAAAUCUCCAAUUUGUCAAAAACUUUUCUUGAUUAGAUGAUAAUGUGAUAUACAUGGUGACUGCUAUUAAAUGAGCCCAUCCACUUACGCCCUUAUAAGCGAGCAACUAAUUGAUGGUAAAUCUGUAACCCAUUGUUUUCGACUUAUGCGUGUACUUGUUUCGAAUGGAGCACAUAUUGGCAUGCUCCGUUCAUCUUAGGUGAGUGUGAAUGUUGAAGUGUGAUUUCGUAGCAUUAGGCUUGCAAUUUAAGAGAUCUUCCAAUCCAUUUUUUCUGGAUUUUGGGGAUGUGUACAGUGGAAAAUUAUAGAUAAAUAAGAUUUCUUUGUUCUUAAUUCUUUCAUGUUGGAGAGAGUGACAGUACCUACGUUCCUGUCAGUGGGCUAUAUAUAUUCUCUAGCUGCUUGCUGUUUUCUUUCUUGCGGUAAUUUAUUUGCCAUUUGUAACAGCAAAAUGAUAUGUCAACAUGCUCUGAUAUUUUAUAGCAAUUUUAGAGAUUUCUUCUCAUAUUAAGAUUAGUUCUUGCUGAUUAUUUUUGUGGGACUAGGAAAUGAAGCUUUUUUUUAUUUGUGUUGUACUCUAUUCUUUUUAUUCUGUUGGUUUUGCCUCAUACAACCAUUAUUUUAAUUAAAAAGCAUAUUUCUCUCUCUAUCUCUGACCGCGGCUCUUUUCAUCGCCUUGGCUUGCAGGUCGCCGCUGGAGCCGGACAAGGUAAUGGCUUACCUUACCCGGUGAGGUGCUGAGUAGGAAGAUCGCGCAAGACACCACCACCACCAGGUACUAGAGGGCGCCAUCAAGUAUGUCGCUGUACUGAUUGCCGAUAACCUAUAGGUCCAUCUCUUCUCUCUCUCUCUCUCUCUCUCUCUCUCUCUCUCUCUCUUUGUAGUUCUGGAUUAGGCUUACCUGAACUACUUAAUGUGACAAAAUAUCUUAAACAAGCUCUGUGAUUUCCUAUGCUCUCUUAUAUUUUCAAAGAAAAAAGAACUGCUCUUAUAUUAUAUUUGUUAGUUCCUUUAUACCCCAAGAGAAAAUAGAACUGACUAACAAAACUCUGUUGAUGAUGAAUAAUGCAGUGUAUAUAAUUCAGGGGCCCCUUUUCUUUCAUUUGUUGCUCAGUUAGCUUGUUGUUCUUACCUGCUGUUCUGAUUUUGUUUUCUGGGUGCUGUAUAGGAUACUAUGGUUAAAGAUUGUUCUGAUUUAUAUCGAUGUUGUUGAUUAUCAAAAUUAGUGGAUAUUAUCUAGGGUGCUUCUCCUUUGGAUUUGAUGUACUAUGUCUUUCCAGCUUAUACUAGAUGAUUUCUUUUCAUGGUUUUUGAUAAUUAUGGAUAUGUAUCUAAUAAUCUUAUUUUGGCGUCAACAAAUUACUCAUCUAGCAUUUCUUCUAUUACAGCUCUGUAUCUUUUUCUUUACAUGGUUACUGCACUAUUGAAGUAGUUGUAUUCUGGACUCUUUCCAUUUUACCUUGCUUGGCUGACUAGAGCCCAGAAAUAACAUUUAGUUCUGGUUGUUUUGAUCAAGUAAGUGACACCUAACUGUCAUUGAUUUCUGGGAUUGUUCAUUAUCUUGAGCCAUGCCUGGUACUGAAUCUGAAUUUUCCAUCUCUGGUACCAUGGCACGGGGUUGGCGGCGGCAUCUUGGUGAAGAAGAGGACGACAGUGGCUUAGGGAGGAAGAUGACAGUGGCAACCUGAUCUAUAUGAAUUGAGAAGCUUUCUUUCUUCCUAAAUGUGUUGAUAUGCUCUUCAUUGAUAUAGCAUAUCCUUUUCUGUAUUAUUCACAUAAUUCUUUGCUAGCAGAAUAUCCUAAACAAUCUGAAAAAUAGAUAGCUUGAAGGAUGCACGUUGUAGUGUCAAAAGGAUGCAGAACAUUUGUGCGUUCCCUCUAGAAUUUCCCCGCCUAUAUGAUUUUCAUCGAAUUAUUGCGGUCAACCUCUUUUGAUCAUUUGCUCACAAUCUGGUAAUUCACGCUUACAAUUUGUCAAGCUGAAGAAGUCUGUUUAGGCUACAUGCUCUUACCUCCUUAGACUCGGCAGAUGGGCGUUUUACAAUGAAAUAAUGUUCUUUUAUUAGAUAAAUUAUUAGGUUUUAUUUGGCUCUGCAGAGGGAUAACAUAGGACGGUAAUUUACAUUUCUGUAAUGAGUUGGAAAUAAAGAGGAGCACCCUAUGUUUUUAAGGCGGUAAGGCGAGGCGAGGCGCUGGGGGGGCGCCUCACUGCCUAAGCGCUGAGGCAUAAGGCGAGGCGACGCCUUAGAGACUUGUAAGCAACAGAAUUUAAGUAGAACUUGGUAGGCAUUAAGCAACUAGGCAUACAGCCAUACACACCUUGCAACUGAUUGUUGUAGAGCCCCCAUCCUCUUUGCACUUGCUUUUCUCCCCAACAGAAUUCUGCAUCAACAUGAAGUCAUGAACAAAUAUGUUAGAAUAAUGUAUCACUUACCAGUGCACAUUCCACAAAAAAUAGAAAUAAAAGUGAGGCAGCGAACAAAAGUGGAAAGAAAGAUAGCAAGUAUGAGUGCAACUGCAAUCUGCAAUGCAUGGCAUAUUACAUAACCAUUAACCAAUUCAAAUGACACAAGUCCAGUAGUCCACAUAAGACAAACAGAAUAAUAGAUAAUUCCAGCAUAGCAAAAGGGAUAAAGGUGGCCAGCUCAGCUCUCUCAUGUCUCUCCACUCUCAAAGUCUCAAUCAAAAGUCAUCAUCAUCAAACUCAUUGGCAUUGGUGUUGUCUUCACCAUCUUGGUCAACAUUAGUUGGCUCUUGAUCGUCAUUGCUCACAUCAUCAUCAUCCUCAACGUAGUCUGAAUCCUCCCCCUCCGCAUUGGGCAUACUGUUGCUCUUGCUUGUUGUUGCUGUACUGCAGAGGAGGAGGAGCUGCUGGACAGGAGGAUGAGGAGGAGCUGCUGGACAGGAGGAAGAGGAGGAGGAGCUGCUGGACAGGAGGAAGAGGAGGAGCUGCUGGAGAGGAGGAACCGUUGGAGAGGAGGGGGAGGAGCUGCUGGAGAGGAGGAGGAACCAGAUCUGCUGGAGAGGAGCCACUGAAGAGAAGGAGGGGGAGGAGUGUGUGGAUUGGGGGCUGUUUCUCUCUCUCUCUUUCUCCCCUCUUACCUGUUGGCGCCAACAUGAUUCCAGUUUCCCGCCAAAACUCUGUUUCCCGCCUAAAACAGUUCCCCUGCCUGCCUGGCAAGCUAAGGCGUCCAAAAUGGACUAAGGCAACGCCUCGGACGCCUAGGCAGACGCCUCGGACGCCUUAUAGCUUAAGGCGGACGCCUUAGACACCCACCUAAGGCGAGGUGGACGUCUUGCCCUCGCAGGGCGCCCUGACGCCUAAGCGUCGCCUAGGCGACGCCUUAGGGACGCCUUGAAAACAGAGGGAGCACCUCUAUUUUAUAUGGAAUGCUGAACUUUAUAUGGAAUGCUUAAUUAAGUUCUGAUAUCAAUUUCCAUUUAUGUAAUGAGUUGGAAAUAAAGAAAUGAUUAAGAAAUAUUCAUCUAGCAGAUUCUUAUGAAUGUGCAAAGUUAGGAGUACAUUGAAUUUCUAGAUGUUUCCAGCCUACCACAUUUAUUUAUUUGCAUAUAUUUUCCAAUGUAGGUUGGUAGCCUGUUGCUCAUUCCAUGCAUCUGCUCUACUGCUGGCCUCUGCCUCCUCGUUCUUUAGGAGACGGUACAAGUCAUGGAGAAUUUGUGCAACCUCCGUUCCUUUCCGACGUGUUGUGAGUUGUUGAAGGAGCGAGAGGACGCAAGACUGGGAUCAAAGCCGAGGUUGGACCGGUGAUGGCGGCUGCAGCGGGACGGAUGACACAGACAAAAAAGACAGUUCCUCAUAUUUGUCUCCGAUGAAAAAAGAUCAUCUGGUGACAAACACCUCCUUCUUUUUUCUAUAUGCAUCCUCCCAUGACAAAACUUGUUUCUGGACAGGGUAUCUUGCUGGGGAAAUAGACCCUGUAGUCUAUAUUUGUGCCUGUUAAGACUUUUUAUUGUUAUUGAAAGUGAAGCUAGCUCUGUAUAAAAGGGCUUUCGGUUGAUUAAAGUUUCACUGAAAAGAAUGUUUAUUUCAGUCCAUAUCUUAUUCCAAAUUCCCAUGAUCUAAUUGGUGUUCUAUGCAGAACAACACUUUUGGGUUUUAGGUAAUCUUUGAAUGGUCUCUAAAUGGUAAUCUUGCCUGACCACUGACUUUUUGAGUUUUGCCUUACAAGAGCAUUUCCAUGCAAAUAUAUAACAUGACGAUCUUGGAUUUCUUAUGGGUAUGAUAAUUUAUUUUUUCUAUAUGAUCAUAUGAGGUCAUGUGUAUUUUAUUCGAGCAAGUAAGGCAUAUAUCUGUUUCUUUGGAGAAUUAAAUAGGAGAAUUACUUGAACUCAAGCAGCUUUGUGGCAUUUGUUUAUGUUUAAAUUGUUUACAUUCAGAUUGGUUUCCUAAUUUCUAUUACACGGUUGGUCUCUGCAUUCCAGUUUGGUUUGUCUGUUGUAUAUAUAAUUGUGAGCUUUGUUUACUUUUACUUAUUAGGUUUCUUAGGGUCAUUCCUCCAUUACUGCUGCCACUGCUCCUUUGGUUCUUGGUCAUUGCUCUGACGAAUGUCUCCGUCCCAGGUAAUUUUCUUCUGCCUUUUGUUAUUAUUAUGUGAGUUGUCAUUGUUUUUACAUUGUAUGUUAUAUUUCCUGUUCCUUUGGCUUGGAUAAUCCGUCUUUUAUUCAUCAUCCAUUACUGUUGUUGCUGCUCCUUUAGUUCUUGGUCACAUAUAAGCUGUAAUUGUUUUUACACACUAAUGAGGGCCUUUGGAUAAUCUGUCUUUGAUUCAUUUUUCUUAUCAGAGCUCAGUUAUUGAUAUUUCAAGCCAAGUUUUUUCCACUAUUAUAAUAAAUUGAGGAGUGUUGAGAAGAAUCUAUUUGGGUUGCUCUCAUUGAAUUUCUCAUUAAGACAUGCACUCAGUUCUGGUUUAUCAAGUUAUGUAUAAUAUGUAUAUGUUGAUAUGCAUGGCAUCACUCAAAUGUGUGUAUUCCUGCUGUUGAAUUUUAGAAUCAGCACUCUGUUUUCUUUUCAAGCAUCUCUCGAAACCAUCUUUGAGAAAAAUUCUUUACUAAGUAAUGAUUUCUUCUUUUCUGUAGUAUUCCUCAAGUUUAUGAAUGAACUGAUAGAUGUCAUCUACUGCCUAUUAAGUAGGCUAUGCAAAAUAUGUUAUCAUGUAACUUGUACCCAUGCAUCAGUGAUAAAGCUGAUAAUUUUCAUUUUAUCUCAGGGUUGCUCCGUCCAUUUAUCUCUUUUUAUGUUCAGUAGUGAAGAGGGUUAUAUUCCUAACUAUGCAGAGAUUAUUAAGGGUGUUAAGUUGCUUCUCAUAAGUGAUUGGGACUAUGAGAUCAUUAAGGGGCAUUGAGCCGCUGCCCAGAGGUAUACUUUCUUUUAUUUCUUAUAUAUUUCAACCACUUAGUUUUGUUGUCUCUAAACCAUUUUUGAUGACUCAAGUUGAUCAUACUAUUGUGAGAAUCUUGGCCAGGAUCAUUCUUUAUAUCAUGUUGGAUCAUCUUAGAAUUCGUAGAGCCAGUUACCAUCGAAGGAUGUACUCAUAGAACACAAUCAGUGUAAUUGUGCUUUUCUACACUUCUGCCUAGAGCAAUGGGAUAUGUAUGAUGUAUUGUAUGGCUACCCUCUAAUGCACUACUCAGCCUCCUGUACAAAUGACUUGAUCUAAUUAUUAUGAAAGACAUGUGGAGUGUGUUGCUUUAUAUAUACAUAAUUUGCUAUAAUUCUGAUUUA
Triticum aestivum (bread wheat) is the source of this 8442-nucleotide long non-coding RNA. RefSeq lists it as uncharacterized. Lineage: Eukaryota; Viridiplantae; Streptophyta; Magnoliopsida; Poales; Poaceae. The transcript has 5 exons. The record is from RefSeq and is a predicted model, not a curated record.